GUACUGAUGAAGAGUCCCAAACUAGGACGAAACAGAUCUCCAGUAC
This 46-nucleotide non-coding RNA is filed under the name Trichobilharzia regenti. The record is from RNAcentral. Lineage: Eukaryota; Metazoa; Platyhelminthes; Trematoda; Strigeidida; Schistosomatidae.